UGUGCCAGAAGCCGCGGUAAUACGAAGGGUGCAAGCGUUACUCGGAAUUACUGGGCGUAAAGCGUGCGUAGGUGGUUGUUUAAGUCUGUCGUGAAAGCCCUGGGCUCAACCUGGGAAUUGCGAUGGAAACUGGGCGACUAGAGUGUGGCAGAGGGUAGUGGAAUUCCUGGUGUAGCAGUGAAAUGCGUAGAGAUCAGGAGGAACAUCCGUGGCGAAGGCGACUGCCUGGGCCAACACUGACACUGAGGCACGAAAGCGUGGGGAGCAAACAGGAUUAGAUACCCUGGUAGUCCGCGCCCUAAACGAUGCGAACUGGAUGUUGGGUGCAAUUUGGCACGCAGUAUCGAAGCUAACGCGUUAAGUUCGCCGCCUGGGGAGUACGGUCGCAAGACUGAAACUCAAAGAAAUUGACGGGGGUGCCAGCAGCCGCAACAAGUCACUGUGCCAGCAGCCGCGGUAGUGAUGUGCCAGCAGCCGCCAACUCAAAUGAAUUGACGGGGCGUGUGCCAGCAGCCGCAACUCAAAUAAAUUGACGGGA
This 538-nucleotide ribosomal RNA is filed under the name uncultured Stenotrophomonas sp. Its description in RNAcentral is "bacterial SSU rRNA". It matches the Rfam family "Bacterial small subunit ribosomal RNA", at positions 504 to 1290 of the family's 1533-position model. The record is from RNAcentral. Lineage: Bacteria; Pseudomonadati; Pseudomonadota; Gammaproteobacteria; Lysobacterales; Lysobacteraceae.